UAGCCAUACAAAAAUGAAACAUGAGGAUAUUUGGUGAGAGAAAUUUGUCAGCAGAAUUCUCUAUGCUGGAUAGUGACUGAUAAGCUAAAUCUUCUCUCUAUUCUUUGGCAUUUGCGAUGUGAGACCCAAGAAAAUGUGGCAGUUUAGAGCAGCCAAGUUGAAGCAAUCCUAAUUUCAGCCAGAAAUAGGAGCCCAUGUAUAGAAACCAUGGGCCGUGGGGAUGGUGGAACUAAUUGUUUCUGUAGGGAACACGGUUUGAGGGUCCUUGGCCUCUGCUGUCUUCAAUGAGUUUCCUGUUCUGCAUGAUACCAGGUCUUUAGAGAAACUCAAUCAAUUGUCAACCAGAACAUUUUUAAAUCUACCUGUAAGCUGGAAGCCCCCCAACAACCGCAGCCCCACGCCCGCCUCCGCUCUGAGUUG
RNAcentral lists this long non-coding RNA (420 nucleotides) under Homo sapiens (human). RNAcentral describes it as "HSALNT0299313". Lineage: Eukaryota; Metazoa; Chordata; Mammalia; Primates; Hominidae. The record is from RNAcentral.